RNAcentral lists this long non-coding RNA (999 nucleotides) under Homo sapiens (human). The record is from RNAcentral. Lineage: Eukaryota; Metazoa; Chordata; Mammalia; Primates; Hominidae.
ACAGAAGUUAAACUUCUUUCCAGGGAAGAAGGGCGGGGAUGUCAGGGCUGGAGAGUGCCCGUGUCCUUCUGUGUGCAUUGGGCUCCUUCCUCCUUAAUUCUCUGCUUUCCACUUUUAGGCUGAACUCCAGUGCACCCAGUUAGACUUGGAGCGGAAACUCAAGUUGAAUGAAAAUGCCAUCUCCAGGCUCCAGGCUAACCAAAAGUCUGUUCUGGUGUCGGUGUCAGAGGUCAAAGCAGUGGCUGAAAUGCAGUUUGGGGAACUCCUUGCUGCUGUGAGGAAGGCCCAGGCCAAUGUGAUGCUCUUCUUAGAGGAGAAGGAGCAAGCUGCGCUGAGCCAGGCCAACGGUAUCAAGGCCCACCUGGAGUACAGGAGUGCCGAGAUGGAGAAGAGUAAGCAGGAGCUGGAGACGAUGGCGGCCAUCAGCAACACUGUCCAGUUCUUGGAGAUGUGCAUGACAUCACGUUCGACCCGGACACAGCACACAAGUAUCUCCGGCUGCAGGAGGAGAACCGCAAGGUCACCAACACCACGCCCUGGGAGCAUCCCUACCCGGACCUCCCCAGCAGGUUCCUGCACUGGCGGCAGGUGCUGUCCCAGCAGAGUCUGUACCUGCACAGGUACUAUUUUGAGGUGGAGAUCUUCGGGGCAGGCACCUAUGUUGGCCUGACCUGCAAAGGCAUCGACCAGAAAGGGGAGGAGCGCAGCAGUUGCAUUUCCGGAAACAACUUCUCCUGGAGCCUCCAAUGGAACGGGAAGGAGUUCACGGCCUGGUACAGUGACAUGGAGACCCCACUCAAAGCUGGCCCUUUCUGGAGGCUCGGGGUCUAUAUUGACUUCCCAGGAGGGAUCCUUUCCUUCUAUGGCGUAGAGUAUGAUUCCAUGACUCUGGUUCACAAGUUUGCCUGCAAGUUUUCAGAACCAGUCUAUGCUGCCUUCUGGCUUUCCAAGAAGGAAAACGCCAUCCGGAUUGUAGAUCUGGGAGAGGAACCCGAGAAG